AUGGGGUGCAGCAGGCGCGAAAACUUGGCAAUGCGAGAAAUCGUGGCCAGGGAACUCCAAGUGGCUGGGGUAAGACCCAGUCUUUUCUUGACUCUUCAAAGGUCUUGGAAUAAGAGGUGGGUAAGGACGGUGCCAGCCGCCGCGGUAAUACCGGCGCCUCAAGUGGUAGUCGAUUUUAUUGGGCCUAAAACGUCCGUAGCCUGUUUGGUACAUUCGUGGGUAAAUCAACCAGCUCAACUGGUUGAAUUCUGCGAGCACGGCCAGACUUGGGACCGGGAGAGGUGUGGGGUACGCUCAGGGUAGGGGUAAAAUCCUGUCAUCCUGAGCGGACCACCUGUUGCGAAGGCGCCACACUAGAACGGAUCCGACGGUCAGGGACGAAGCCUAGGGGCACGAACCGGAUUAGAUACCCGGGUAGUCCUAGGUGUAAACGCUGUGGACUUGGUGUUGGGGAUUCUCCGAGGAUUCUCAGUGCCGAAGCGAAGGUGAUAAGUCCACUGCCUGGGGAGUACGGUCGCAAGGCUGAAACUUAAAGGAAUUGGCGGGGGAGCAC
RNAcentral lists this ribosomal RNA (553 nucleotides) under uncultured euryarchaeote. Its description in RNAcentral is "bacterial SSU rRNA". It matches the Rfam family "Archaeal small subunit ribosomal RNA", at positions 325 to 879 of the family's 1478-position model. Lineage: Archaea; Methanobacteriati; Methanobacteriota. The record is from RNAcentral.